Molecule: ribosomal RNA, 460 nt
Filed under: uncultured bacterium
Lineage: Bacteria
Description: partial 16S ribosomal RNA
Rfam family: Bacterial small subunit ribosomal RNA
Source: RNAcentral
CCUACGGGAGGCAGCAGUGAGGAAUAUUGGUCAAUGGGCGCGAGCCUGAACCAGCCAAGUAGCGUGACGGAUGACUGCCCUACGGGUUGUAAACCUCUUUUAUCGAGGAAUAAAGUCCGGUACGUGUGCCUUAUUGUAUGUAUCUUAUGAAUAAGGAUCGGCUAACUCCGUGCCAGCAGCCGCGGUAAUACGGAGGAUUCGAGCGUUAUCCGGAUUUAUUGGGUUUAAAGGGUGCGUAGAGGGGUUGUUAAGUCAGUCGUGAAAGUUUGCGGCUCAACCGUAAGAUUGCAAUUGAUACUGGCAGUCUGGAGUACGGUAGAGGUAGGCGGAAUGAGUGGUGUAGCGGUGAAAUGCUGAGAUAUCACGAAGAACUCCGAUUGCGAAGGCAGCUUACUAAACUGACACUGACAUGGAGGCACGAAAGUGUGGGUAUCAAACAGGAUUAGAUACCCGAGUAGUC